Molecule: long non-coding RNA, 902 nt
Filed under: Mytilus galloprovincialis (Mediterranean mussel)
Lineage: Eukaryota; Metazoa; Mollusca; Bivalvia; Mytilida; Mytilidae
Source: RNAcentral
GUUUAAUACGCAAACGGACAACAACUGAACGCACAAGAAAAGGCAAGUGGAUUUUUAACAAAGUAAUAUUUGACAGAUGUCAAAGUCAUGUUUUGAAUAAAUAAUUUUCAUUCAUGUUGUUCACUGCUAAAAUCCCUUUUUUGAAUUUUUAAAGUGUUUUGAGAUAUGAGAUCUACGUAAUGAGGUUAAUAUUUUUAGAUUUUUCGGUAAUUUGAUGAAUACAAAAUAAAAUGAGUGUACUGACAACGAGUUGCUAAUAUUUUUGUUAUAAAAAAAAAUCUUCAUUUUCAAUACCACGAUAAAAGAUAAUUUCUUAGGGUGAUGUUGUGUUGGUCGACUGAUUGGGUGUUCCCUCAGGGUAGGUCACCGUCCUUCACCAAUAAAACUGACUGUCUUGAUGUAGCCAAAAGUGUUUAAAGUUGUGGUAAAUACAAUAAAUAAGUAUUUCGAAUAAUUCUUUGCUUUUAUUACAGAACCUACAAAAGUAUCUCGAAUAAUUCUUUGAUUUUAUUACAGGAUCUACAAAAAUGAAGCAUUAUAUGCCUAUGAUAUUUGUAUUCAUCAUACUUAAUGCAAGUAUAGCCAGUAGCACCAGGACAUGCUCACAAUGUUCAUUUUUUCUACAGUUGUGUCUCCAGCAGUGUUCAGACACAACAGACGCGCUUAUUGGACUUAUAGGUCGAAAGAGAGAACAACCGAAAGAACGUAAUAACAAGAGGGAUUGUUUUACAUCGUGUUCAUACAAUAGCGAUAGCUGCAGGAGAGAUUGCAUUUGAUCUACACAGAGGAAAAUAAAAAAUAUUUAUGACCAAAAGAUGUUUGGCUUUCAAUACAUACUUUUUCAGGUGAAGUGUGAUAAUAUAAACGUUAUGGCUGACACUAAUUAAUCAAUUUGGAUCUGA